RNAcentral lists this ribosomal RNA (253 nucleotides) under uncultured bacterium. RNAcentral's name for it is "partial 16S ribosomal RNA". It matches the Rfam family "Bacterial small subunit ribosomal RNA", at positions 524 to 776 of the family's 1533-position model. The record is from RNAcentral.
UACGAAGGGUGCAAGCGUUACUCGGAAUUACUGGGCGUAAAGCGUGCGUAGACGGCUAUCUAAGUCGGGUGUGAAAGCCCCGGGCUCAACCUGGGAAUUGCAUUCGAGACUGAAUAGCUAGGGUGCGGUAGAGGGAAGCGGAAUUUCCGGUGUAGCGGUGAAAUGCGUAGAUAUCGGAAGGAACAUCAGUGGCGAAAGCGGCUUCCUGGACCAGCACCGACGUUCAGGCACGAAAGCGUGGGGAGCAAACAGG